This 77-nucleotide non-coding RNA is filed under the name Limnospira indica PCC 8005. The record is from RNAcentral. Lineage: Bacteria; Bacillati; Cyanobacteriota; Cyanophyceae; Oscillatoriales; Sirenicapillariaceae.
AGGAGCCGUGUGAGGUGAAAGUCUCAUGCACGGUUUUGGAGACGAGUAGGCUGGGUGACUGGCUUGCUUAGUUUAAC